This 402-nucleotide ribosomal RNA is filed under the name bacterium. RNAcentral's name for it is "partial 16S ribosomal RNA". It matches the Rfam family "Bacterial small subunit ribosomal RNA", at positions 355 to 776 of the family's 1533-position model. The record is from RNAcentral.
UGGGGAAUUUUGCACAAUGGGGGAAACCCUGAUGCAGCGACGCCGCGUGAUUUAGAAGGCCUUCGGGUUGUAAAAAUCUUUUCUAUGGGAAGAAAAUGACAGUACCAUAGGAAUAAGGACCGGCUAAUUACGUGCCAGCAGCCGCGGUAAUACGUAAGGUCCGAGCGUUGUCCGGAAUCAUUGGGCGUAAAGGGUACGUAGGCGGGUAAGCAAGUUAGAAGUGAAAUCCUAUAGCUCAACUAGAGUAAGCUUUUAAAACUGCUCAUCUUGAGGGAUGGAAGGGAAAGUGGAAUUCCUAGUGUAGCGGGGAAAUGCGCAGAUAUUAGGAGGGAUACCGGUGGCGAAGGCGACUUUCUGGCCAUAACCUGACGCUGGGGGACGAAAGCGUGGGUAGCAAACAGG